RNAcentral lists this ribosomal RNA (460 nucleotides) under uncultured bacterium. RNAcentral describes it as "partial 16S ribosomal RNA". It matches the Rfam family "Bacterial small subunit ribosomal RNA", at positions 338 to 795 of the family's 1533-position model. The record is from RNAcentral.
CCUACGGGAGGCUGCAGUGAGGAAUAUUGGUCAAUGGACGAGAGUCUGAACCAGCCAAGUAGCGUGAAGGAUGACGGCCCUAUGGGUUGUAAACUUCUUUUAUAUGGGAAUAAAAUGUUCCACGUGUGGGAUUUUGUAUGUACCAUAUGAAUAAGGAUCGGCUAACUCCGUGCCAGCAGCCGCGGUAAUACGGAGGAGCCGAGCGUUAUCCGGAUUUAUUGGGUUUAAAGGGAGCGUAGGUGGAUUGUUAAGUCAGUUGUGAAAGUUUGCGGCUCAACCGUAAAAUUGCAGUUGAAACUGGCAGUCUUGAGUACAGUAGAGGUGGGCGGAAUUCGUGGUGUAGCGGUGAAAUGCUUAGAUAUCACGAAGAACUCCGAUUGCGAAGGCAGUUCACUGGACUGCAACUGACACUGAGGCUCGAAAGUGUGGGUAUCAAACAGGAUUAGAUACCCCUGUAGUC